GGUGAGAUGGCCGAGUUGGUUAUGGCGCCAGGUUAAGGCUAUAUCUUAACUGGAUUUCCUGGUGGUGAAAACCGCGUGGGUUCGAGUCCCACUCUCAUCA
This 100-nucleotide transfer RNA is filed under the name Phaeoacremonium minimum UCRPA7. It matches the Rfam family "tRNA". Rfam says of the family: Transfer RNA (tRNA) molecules are approximately 80 nucleotides in length. Their secondary structure includes four short double-helical elements and three loops (D, anti-codon, and T loops). Lineage: Eukaryota; Fungi; Ascomycota; Sordariomycetes; Togniniales; Togniniaceae. The record is from Rfam by way of RNAcentral.